This is a long non-coding RNA of Brachypodium distachyon (stiff brome), 5861 nucleotides long. RefSeq lists it as uncharacterized. The transcript is spliced from 3 exons. The record is from RefSeq and is a predicted model, not a curated record. NCBI's taxonomy places the organism in Eukaryota, Viridiplantae, Streptophyta, Magnoliopsida, Poales, Poaceae.
CCAUUAUCUUCUACUUUCAGCUUCUUAGCCUUCCCCGUCAUCUCCGAGUUUCUUCUUGUUUGCGUCCCAUCGCUCGUCUGCCGGAGACCCGCCUUGUCGUGAAAAGCCCCACACACCGCCUCUUCUUCUCCGUCGGCUGGACCUGCAUCACGGAAGAAGUAAACAAACUUUAUUAGAGAAAUCUUAGUCAACCUUAUGGCCCGGAGCUUUUUUUUUUUGGCCGCUGCUGGAUAUUUGGGUGUGGGUCGACGUAUUUAUGUUGGUGAUUUCUGCCCACCAUUUCCGGGGUGGGACUAAAUAGAAAUUACCGUCGAUGCCAUCGCCGACUCGCCGAGUCCCCGGGCUCCGUCGCGCGCCGCUCCGGCUCCCCCUGCACGCGCUCCUCGUCGCCCGCCUCCUCUCCCACGGGUCCCGGGCUCCGUCGCGCGCCGCUCCGGCUCUCCCUGCACGCACUCCUCGUCGCCCGCCUCCUCUCCCACGGGAUCCACUCGCUGGCUCGCCGCUCCGCCCUGAGCUCCACGCCCUCGGCGCCGACUGCCUGCCUCCACUCGUCGGCGUCCACCGUACGUGCCCUACUGCUCUAACGUCCAAGAUUUUCUGUUUUCCCAAACCCUCUGCUGCCGCCGCUUCCUAGGUUUUCCUGCGCCGCCAACGCUGCUGCCGGUGCGCCUGCUGUUGCUCGCUAUUGCCGGUGCCCCUGCAGCUGCCUUCGCUACUUGCUGCUGUCCGGAAGUCACCCGUGGGGGUGUUCUUCGAUAUGGACUUCGAGAUUAGCAGCACACGCAAGGGGCUCUGAUCUACUACUACUUGUUUGCGUGAUGCUGCUGGUCCAAUCGGGAAACAAGACAUCGAAGUUGAUCUGUUUGAGUAGAGAGUAGUUGGAGGAAAGAAGAAAGAAGAUAAAUCAUCAUCCGAAGAAGAGUCUCUCCAAAUUCGUGGAAUUUGUCCCAAAUUAGUUCUCUUCUCCUGAAGCAAUUUCGAGUCAGAACCAGGACAUGGUUACAAAUCAAAAUUUUGGCUGUAGAUGGAUCUUUCGGUUUUGUAAUUGAGCCAUGCAUCUUCUUGCCAUACAGGGAUUUGUCUUUCAACUUGCUGUAUGGAGGUAUCCCCUUCUCCCAUCUGCAAGCUCAAGCAACUUGAGGACCUGUAAGCACUGGAUUAAUAAUUCUUUUUGCCUCACUUUUAGCAGAGCUGAGAUGCUCUAGGUUUAUCUUCUUCAUAUUACUGGUUUUUUUUUGUGAUAUCUUCUAGGAAACCAUUAUAGGUGUUUUUAUUUGUAGGAAGCAUCAUGUAGUAAGUGUUUUUCAUGAGUUCUUCUUAGUUCAGAAUUGCUGUAAGGUGGACCUCUCAGUUUGUUCCUAGGUCUUAGGUGUUUGUUUUCAACAAUUAUAUUUAAUGUUGUGUUAUAGCCCAGCAUGUUGGUACAAAUAUUAUGCCUUCACAUUCUGUAGAUUAGUGUCAAGACCUAUGUGGAUAAGUGCUGCAAUUCCGAAAAAAAUCCUCUGGAUCUCAGCUUCAGUAUAGAGCUGCUAAAAGUAUUGAUUAUCUACAAUAUACUAUUAAUUUUGGUGUUCCGAAUGUAGCUCAGUACUUAUGCAUAUUAAUAUCUACUCCCUCCGUCCGGGAUAAUGAGUCAAUUGUAUUUUCCCAAUAUCUACUAUUCAGUUAUGUGCAGAUAACUACUACCUCCGAUCCAAAAUAAGUGUCGCAGAUGAGACACUUAUUUUGAAUUAUGUUUGAACUAGACUUAGUUCAAAAGUAAGAGCAUGAAAGUUUUAGUUGUGAAAACUUGCAUGAACCUUUCAUACUCUUACUUUUCUGUUCCAUGGACAGAACACUAUAGAAGUCACAUGUUUAUCCUUUUAUGCGCAUCUCAUGACAGGACCAUGUGGGUACCACCAUACCAGUCAUCCUAAAGCUGCAUGAAAUUAAUUGCUGCAUCGCUUUCUUUUCUACCUCACCUCAUGUAAAGGCACAUCAUUUUUGAACAAGAAUACAAGGUACAUGGUCAGCUCUAAAGUGCAUGCUAUAUGAUGUAAACCAAACUUUUAUCAACCCCUAACAAAUAGUUGUAAUCAAAGUAUCCAAAACUUCACGGACAAUUUCUUCUGCCGACUUCACCUGCUACAACUGUUUAGGUGCACUGAGUGUGCUAUUUCCAAAUGUUUUUUAUUCUGUGUGUUUAGAUAACAUCUGGUAUACAACUCCAUACAAAACUAUCAUUGCUCCAUAUAUGCAACAGUACAAUUGAUCGCCUGAAAAGACUACCAUGCAAACAUGUUCGAUUGAACCUACAUAGGCAUUUAACCUCUCUCCCUACACGCUUACCAAUUUCCAAUAUACAACACCAAUCAAUCUUGCAACUUCCUUUGUAGUACUCUCCAUGGUUUUCAAGUCGCCGAGUCGAGUCGCCCUCUCACAGACUUGGGGACUAGGUAGACUAGUCUGUGACUAGGCUGGACUAGUCGACCCAAGUCGACUUGACUAGUAGAAACAUUUAUAAAUCAUUUAGUGCAUCCAAAAUAGGUUUAGCAGCAUCAGUUGAAGGGAAAGAGAGACAUAGGAGAGCAGAGCAGCACUGGACUUGGACACAGAGAUAGAAAUUGUAUGCAAAAUUGAACAGAGGAUAGAGCACUGGAGCAGAUUUCAGAAAUCAAAACAGAGUAGAAAUCAAAUUGGGGUGGCAGAGGUGGAGGAGUCAGGCGGCAGGUCUCAGGGCGCAGAUUUCUGGAGAGGACGGGAGGAGUGAGCGCAUCCAGGCAGCAGAGGCACCCUGCGGAGGAAGCAGCAUCGUCGAGGCCACAUCCCGGGGCGGCGGCGGUGGCAGCGCCAUCCGCCAGGUCUUCCCCGCCCUUUCCUGCCGCUUCCCCACCCGUUCCCUCCCUUUCCCUCCUCUUCCUUGGUGAAUCCCGCCCGAUUCUCUCUCCCGGGAGACCUAUAUACAGCCCGAAAUUUUCCUGGCAUGUGGGGCUUUCAGUGGGCAAGUCGGGUGGCUCGUGGCUUGCAGUCGCCGACUAGUCGGAGCUAGUCUCCGGCGAGUCCCCUAGUCGCGCGACUCGCCCUGCAAGUCGAGCCGCCGGCGCAAGUCUCGCCUGCUGCACAGACUUGGGGACUAGUCGCCGACUAAUCGCCGACUCAAAAACCAUGGUACUCUCACAUCCAUGCAUAUAUCUUCAUGUCUACACAGGUCCAUAUGGGCAUCAGUACUUCGCCGACUUCGAUCUCAGUUUUUUUUUCUACGGAAACCAAUUUACUAUGAACGCCGAACAAGUCAGGCGCUUGCAGCAGCUCCUGUCAACAAGCAACCCUCAGAUAAGCUACGCACCAAGCAGUCGAAACAGAAGGCUGGCCAAUAAAACAGCCACGAUUAACACAGACAGCAGUAGGAGCGACAAUAGAACCACAGAUCAGCAAAACUAACCAACCUGACAAACGAAUUCGUCCACGACGCUGAGCCGACAGCGACAGCAGAACACACCGCCGAGAAGCAUCAGCGAAGAACGAGACAAAGAUCUUUUUUGGUAUGCCAUGCUCUACUUUGUUCCCUUGAUUAUGGGUUGACCUUGCGUGCGCUUCCUAAAAUUGCAGAGAUUUUUACUUGAAGGAAAUCCAUAUCUUCUGGGAUCGACCUUGAUUUUUUCGUUGUUCCAUUCCCUGUUUGAUUUUUUUGGCUUUCAAGAAUGUACAUUGCACUGUUUCUUUAUACCAUAAACGCAAGUAUAUAAUCCAAUAAUAAAUCGGCAUGUAACGAUGAUGGUGUCACAAUGUUCAGAUAUCCAGUUUUGGAAUAAGAACAAGUCCAUGGAAGGUCUAUCGGCAAAAUUUGUGGUUCUGAACUUCAUGUCAGCUGGUUAUUUUUCUUUACCUGCUUGACAAUGAUACUUCAUGGAUGAUCCUUGCUAGCUCUGGAAUUGGUGUGCAACUGUGCAUUGAAUUUUGGAAGAUCGGAAAAGCGAUGCAUGUUGAGGUUAUUGUUGUUUGAAGGAGAGCAACAAAAUGCAGAAGACAGACGUGGAUCUGGGGAAAGCAUUCUGAAUCACCCCUCCUCUGUCUGGGUGACAUUGCGAAUUUCUCUGAUAAUCCAGUGAAUUUUCACCUCCUGCUCCUCCUUACACUGCUCUCUCCGCUCUUUUUUUCUUCCUUCCACCUUCCCUUAUCUGCUAUACUGCUAAAACUUUAUAGUUCCAUUGCUUGCUUCAGUUUGGCGUCUGACACUUAGAAACUGAUUAGCUGAGGUCAAUAGGUGCAUAUCUCUGAAGUUAUCCAUUACUAAUGUAGGGUCCUCCAUUAUGGUAUAUUGAAAUUUCGGUUCAUUUUUUUAAUCAUCACUGUCUUGCUCAUUUCUCUAAAUUGUAAACCUGGUUGCAUGGGACAAGAAAACCUUUAUCAAUAGUUUAUACACCUGAAAUGGAUGCUCUGUGCUAGACUUAGUUUACAUCUUUCUUAGAGUGGCUCGACAAAGGUCGGUUUCACAUUCUUUAGGUGAUUGCUCAGUUUUUUAUGUUGGUGAUUUUGCCCCAGAUACAUGCCUGUGGAAAAACAAUUAAAAGGCUAAAGAACUCGACUCAUGUUUAGUUCUCCUCAUUAAUAAAGAUUGGGCUGCGUCAAGAACAAGGUUUUUCUGAGUGAAAAUUGAAUUUUUUUUAUAAGCUGUCGAUGUUUAGAUCCUGAUUUAUUGCUACAUAAGUACAUAUAUUCUUGCCCGCCUGUUCACCCGAGCUUUAAGCUGUCAUGCUAUUAUCAUUCUGCAAAUUUAAAUGCAGCCACGUAGCACUUGAAGAAAGAUACGAAUUAGACUACCUAACUUGAUUGAUCUCAUACAUUAGGCAUGCUGUAUAAAAGCAUUGCACGUGCUGUCAGGAUCAUUGAUGUUAGUAGACCUGCAUAAAGAAUUGCUAUACCUCACACUAACAUCAAUUGUAAGAGCCUUAGUAUUAUCUGUUUAUUAAUGUUGAUGUGGUUCUCACUAAGGAGCAUUUGUAAUAUUACAAGCUAAAACUCUUAUAGAAUGUUUGUUUACUUGUAUCGUAUUUAUGCAACUACCAAGGAAAGCCUCAAAAUCAUGUCACCUCCAGAGAUGAGGCUUCUAAAGUAUCUACUCUAGAGGUUAGAUCGCCUUUAUUUUCUGUAUAUUAAUUUUGACUCAUUUUCUAAGCACCAUCGCACACUGCACAUGAAAAACACAUGUCUAGAAUACUAGAGAGUCAAGUUUGAAUUAUUGCCCUCUAAAUUUUGAUUUUACUGUUAUAUGGUUGAUUUUUGUUUUAUUGGUCUUCUAUGUUGAGAACUAACGUAAAUUAUUGUGGAGGUAUAUAUUUUGGCCUUCUUAUGAUGGUGGAGUAGAUUAUUUGGUUCUCCUUUUUCUUAGAAUGCUAUAUAAAUUGAAUUUCUUUUUAUUUCUUGUGUAGGAUACAUGAAUCCUUCGGGGCAAUGGGAAGAGUAUCCCUGUUAGUAGGGGCAAAAGCGGCUAGACAGAAAUAAUUCCUGAAGUCUUGCAGGGGCAAAGAAGCCUCCAGCCAAAAAGAGCCAAAAACCACUACUCGUUGCACCAAUAAUAAUUCCUGAAGUUGUGCAGCCAGCAACUAAGAGAAGCCUCCUGCAUUGGCUUGGGGCCGGGCUAGAAUCUGGACCAUGCAUGUUUGUUCAUGACCUGCUUCUGUGUGUUUUCUUCUGGAAUCUGGUUAUGAACUAUGUUUGUUCGUGGAUUACUUGCGUGUUGGUGUGUGCUCUUUUGUAAUCUGGUUAUGGACCAUGUUUUUUCAUGGCACACAUUAGAUCUUUGAACCUGAACAUGAAUGGUGACCUGCUGUUUAUCACAUGCUUGAAAUAUCAAAUGUUUAUGGUCUCCCUUUUAUUACCAA